RNAcentral lists this ribosomal RNA (386 nucleotides) under Chlorothrix sp. (in: green algae). RNAcentral's name for it is "Chlorothrix sp. partial small subunit ribosomal RNA". It matches the Rfam family "Eukaryotic small subunit ribosomal RNA", at positions 582 to 974 of the family's 1831-position model. The record is from RNAcentral. Lineage: Eukaryota; Viridiplantae; Chlorophyta; Ulvophyceae; Ulotrichales; Ulotrichaceae.
AUUCCAGCUCCAAUAGCGUAUAUUUAAGUUGUUGCAGUUAAAAAGCUCGUAGUUGGAUUUCGGGUGGGUACCGCCGGUCUCCCGCUGGGUAUGUACUGGCGUGGCCCGCCUUGCUGUCGGGGACGAUCUCCUGGGCUUUACUGUCCGGGAAUCGGAGUCGACGAUGUUACUUUGAGUAAAUUAGAGCGUUCAAAGCAAGCCUACGCUCUGAAUAUAAUAGCAUGGGAUAACACGACAGGACUCUGGCCUAUCGUGUUGGUCUGUAGGACCGGAGUAAUGAUUAAGAGGGACAGUCGGGGGCAUUCGUAUUCCAUUGUCAGAGGUGAAAUUCUUGGAUUUAUGGAAGACGAACAUCUGCGAAAGCAUUUGUCAAGGAUGUUUUCAUU